UAAUACGGAGGGUGCGAGCGUUAAUCGGAAUUACUGGGCGUAAAGCGCACGCAGGCGGUUUGUUAAGCUAGAUGUGAAAGCCCCGGGCUCAACCUGGGAUGGUCAUUUAGAACUGGCAGACUAGAGUCUUGGAGAGGGGAGUGGAAUUCCAGGUGUAGCGGUGAAAUGCGUAGAUAUCUGGAGGAACAUCAGUGGCGAAGGCGACUUCCUGGACUAAAACUGACGCUGAGGAACGAAAGCGUGGGUAGCAAACGGGAUUAGAUACCCCGGUAGUCCACGCCGUAAACGAUGUCAACUAGCCGUUGGGCCUAUAUACAGGUUUAGUGGCGGAGCUAACGUAUUAAGUUGACCGCCUGGGGAGUACGGCCGCAAGGUUA
RNAcentral lists this ribosomal RNA (377 nucleotides) under uncultured Gammaproteobacteria bacterium. Its description in RNAcentral is "bacterial SSU rRNA". It matches the Rfam family "Bacterial small subunit ribosomal RNA", at positions 521 to 896 of the family's 1533-position model. Lineage: Bacteria; Pseudomonadati; Pseudomonadota; Gammaproteobacteria. The record is from RNAcentral.